Phrynosoma platyrhinos (Desert horned lizard) is the source of this 72-nucleotide non-coding RNA. The record is from the annotation of a GenBank genome assembly. NCBI's taxonomy places the organism in Eukaryota, Metazoa, Chordata, Lepidosauria, Squamata, Phrynosomatidae.
GCCAGUGUGGUGUAGUGGUUUGAGUGUUGAACUACAACUGGGAAGACCAGGAUUCAAUUCCCAGCUCAGCCA